RNAcentral lists this ribosomal RNA (129 nucleotides) under Prunus dulcis (almond). RNAcentral's name for it is "rRNA LSU_rRNA_bacteria". It matches the Rfam family "Eukaryotic large subunit ribosomal RNA", at positions 2425 to 2552 of the family's 3401-position model. The record is from RNAcentral. Lineage: Eukaryota; Viridiplantae; Streptophyta; Magnoliopsida; Rosales; Rosaceae.
ACUCUAGUCCGACUUUGUGAAAUGACUUGAGAGGUGUAGUAUAAGUGGGAGCUUCGACGAAAUUGAAAUACCACUACUUUUAACGUUAUUUUACUUAUUCCGUGAAACGGAGGCGGGGCGACGUGAAGU